GGAUGUAGUGGAGAUCAGUCUACUCUUAGAGAGUGUGACACCGUAGGAAGACCUGGUGUCUGUUAUUAUGGAUAUCAUCAUGUGAUCUGUUCAGAGUCUGUGCAGCUUGUGGAUGGAGCUGGCCUCUGCUCUGGGAGACUGGAGGUGAAGUCCAAUCAGUCCUGGGCCUCAGUGUGUGAAGCUGACUUUGACCAGCAGGAUGCAGAGGUAGUCUGUGGGGAGCUUGGCUGUGGGGCUCCUGCAGCUCUACAGGGGGGGCUCUAUGGAGAAGGUGAGGGUCAGACCUGGGAUAAAGAGUUCCAGUGUAAAGGCAAUGAGUCCCUUCUCCUGGACUGUGACACCUCAGACAGAAAAAACAACACCUGCCUACCUGGUAAUGCUGUUGGACUCACCUGCUCAGAGCCUGAUGAUGUGAGGCUGGUGGGAGGAGGCAGUCGCUGUGCUGGUGGAGUGGAGCGGUACGACCAGGGAGAGUGGAGGACU
This is a long non-coding RNA of Coregonus clupeaformis (lake whitefish), 483 nucleotides long. RefSeq lists it as uncharacterized. The record is from RefSeq and is a predicted model, not a curated record. NCBI's taxonomy places the organism in Eukaryota, Metazoa, Chordata, Actinopteri, Salmoniformes, Salmonidae. The transcript has 3 exons.